UCAAUAAGGAAACGUUUUUCAAAAUAGGCUCUAACGGAUAUAAUUUCCCACUAGACUCCAAAUCUCAAUUUCCGGCCUACUCAGGACGGGAAGGAGAAACAGAUCGACCUGAUUUGGUCAUUUUUUCUUUUCGCUCCGUGUGUGUUCAGAAAGAACCAUUUUGGAAAAUCUGUCUAUUAGACACCUCAUAGAGGAUUAAUUUCCAUAAGGUUUCAUUUCAAGUGAAAAGGUGCCUGUUAGUUUCGUACUUAUAGAGUAUUGCUAUUGUUUGGUUGUGGCCCUCUCACCCUAUUCAGGGAUCAGAGAACCCCACGUGAGUACGCCAUUUUUGUCAACCUUUUCCGUCCAUUUGUGCUUUUUUGAGACGUUUUCUCAUUUUCAUUUUCUCCUAUUAUAGGGCGAUCUACGUGUGAUUAGUUCAUAGACGAUUUUGUUUAACCAUUACGAGUUGGGAUUUACUCAAAUCAGUAUUUUGGAAAAAUACUGAAAUCUAUUUUGUGGAAACCGAAAAAGAAAUACUUGUCUUCAGUAUUUCUCCGGAUUUUAUUGUAAAUGAAACCCUUCUGAACUGGAAGGGUUUUUUUUGGGGGGUACCGUUUUCCUGUAGGAAGAAUUCACGCCAGAUCAACAACCACUCUGGAACAUUUUGACUACCUAUCUUGGCGGAUUCUUUAGAUUCAAGAUUGUUGUUUGGACUUGGGGGCGGAGAAGACGCGCAAGUACCUGAAACAAUAAAAAAAUUGACUAUAUUUUUUUCAUAUAUUAUUCACAUUAUCGUGAUUAAUAACUUACUGUUAAUUGUGUAAAGCGGAAAUUAAGUCGUGUUUUGAACCAGUUAAUUAUUUUUUCGUGAUACUGAGUCUGCGCUCUGUCUGGGCCCACAGCAAAUGACUUCGGAAUCCUUGUAAAAUAUUCUUGAAGGUGAGUUACCUGCGGCUUCACUUCCUGCUCUUUGUGUAUUUAAGUUUGAUUUAUACGUAGCUGGCUCUAUUUUUUUUUAUUGAGAAGUUUAAGGUAACUAGUAAGGAAACUUAGAAAGUUAUCAACUCCGUUUGGCUUUAAGUAUUGAUUUGAAUUUGUUUAAAACACAUCGAUUAAAUCCAUGGAUGCUAAAAGUUUUUUUCAACCUGUGCUAAUUUUAUUUUCACGUUAUCAAUAUACUGAUCUAUUGGAAUGGUGGCUGGUCAAUUUUAUUUCUUUUCUCUUGGUAAGUUGGAGAAUUGGUAAAGAUAUUAGUGAAAUCUAUUGGCAUUUCAACUUACCUGGCGCCCAAAUA
Leptinotarsa decemlineata (Colorado potato beetle) is the source of this 1276-nucleotide long non-coding RNA. The record is from RefSeq and is a predicted model, not a curated record. NCBI's taxonomy places the organism in Eukaryota, Metazoa, Arthropoda, Insecta, Coleoptera, Chrysomelidae.